RNAcentral lists this non-coding RNA (350 nucleotides) under Echinostoma caproni. Its description in RNAcentral is "Eukaryotic large subunit ribosomal RNA". It matches the Rfam family "Eukaryotic large subunit ribosomal RNA", at positions 1907 to 2187 of the family's 3401-position model. The record is from Rfam by way of RNAcentral. Lineage: Eukaryota; Metazoa; Platyhelminthes; Trematoda; Plagiorchiida; Echinostomatidae.
AGGGAAGUCGGCAAAUUGGAUCCGUAACUUCGGGAAAAGGAUUGGCUCUGAGGGCCGAGUCAAACGGGCUGGAGUCAGAUACGUGUCGGUCCAGUUGGAGGCUGGUUUCUCUGUUUCCUUGUCUGCCUCUGGUGGGUGAGGUUUGCGGAGUUACUGGACUCUGACCGGGUCGGUCGUGGGCGACUUCAGCUAACAGUGUUGCUUGGCAGGCGGCGUGCACGGGCAACUGUGUGCGCAAUGCGGUCUCGCUUCCUUCGUUUGGCGUUCAACGGCUAACUCAGAACUGGCACGGACCAGAGGAAUCCGAAAAAAAAAUCAUUAAGUCGGCAAGGGAUAAGAUUCAGUGUCUC